CAGUAGCCGCGGGAAUACGAAGGGUGCAAGCGUUAAUCGGAAUUACUGGGCGUAAAGCGUGCGUAGGCGGUUUGUUAGGUCUGUUGUGAAAUCCCCGGGCUCAACCUGGGAAUGGCAAUGGAUACUGGCAAGCUAGAGUGUGUCAGAGGAUGGCGGAAUUCCCGGUGUAGCGGUGAAAUGCGUAGAGAUCGGGAGGAACAUCAGUGGCGAAGGCGGCCAUCUGGGACAACACUGACACUGAGGCACGAAAGCGUGGGGAGCAAACAGGAUUAGAUACCCGUGUAGUCCCUGUCUCUUAUAC
Molecule: ribosomal RNA, 301 nt
Filed under: uncultured bacterium
Lineage: Bacteria
Description: partial 16S ribosomal RNA
Rfam family: Bacterial small subunit ribosomal RNA
Source: RNAcentral